GCGUUCGUGAGGUUAGUGGUAGCCUGCUUGGUUCCCAACCAGGAUGCGCGGGUUCGAGUCCCGCCGAACGCU
Molecule: transfer RNA, 72 nt
Filed under: Gemmata obscuriglobus
Lineage: Bacteria; Pseudomonadati; Planctomycetota; Planctomycetia; Gemmatales; Gemmataceae
Also listed under: 1 other name
Rfam family: tRNA
About the family: Transfer RNA (tRNA) molecules are approximately 80 nucleotides in length. Their secondary structure includes four short double-helical elements and three loops (D, anti-codon, and T loops). Further hydrogen bonds mediate the characteristic L-shaped molecular structure. tRNAs have two regions of fundamental functional importance: the anti-codon, which is responsible for specific mRNA codon recognition, and the 3' end, to which the tRNAs corresponding amino acid is attached (by aminoacyl-tRNA synthetases). tRNAs cope with the degeneracy of the genetic code in two manners: having more than one tRNA (with a specific anti-codon) for a particular amino acid; and 'wobble' base-pairing, i.e. permitting non-standard base-pairing at the 3rd anti-codon position.
Source: Rfam by way of RNAcentral